UCAAAAUCCCCCACUGAUCUAGACCCUCUGCAUGCAUUCUUUUGCGAAACAGUCAACAAUCAACUCUUAUACCAAUCAAUUUGUCCCUGCAAACCAAGUAUAAAUGUUAUCAGCUGAAUGUUAUUACCCAGAUAAUUUUCCUGAUAACAUGUUCAGCUGCAUUUCUCUCCGUUAUGUAUAAGUCCUUUAUGCCCCAUUUUACCUUUCUUCAAGCUUUUCAUUGGAUAAAUCGUGUCUCUUGUGUUCACUGUUGUAACAAUUAUAGGUGACAUGUUUAUGAAGUAAUAUUAAUCAACCCUUGUCACUUCAUAUUUCUUUCCAUCCUCUUUUGAUUGUGCUGAACUUAAUGGUUUCUGCUACAGUUCUUUAUUUUUCUUUUUGUGAAAUGUUUGAUUCAUCAUAAUGAGGGAUCUGAGUCCUGUUUCAUUCUUGUGACAAAGCGUGCUCGUUGAGUUGAGAAGCUUGUGUACAUAGAGGAACAAAGAGGGUAAGAUCCAUGAAGUGACAGUUUGAAGAAGAGUGUAGUUUCCCUUGUUAUCCUUUGUCGUGCGAUGAUUUUUUUUAGGACAAUGUUAGGUGCCUGUUUGGUUAUCAAAUAAGUUCGUUUGAAUGUAAAUAAAUGAUUAUAAAAUAUAUUUAAUUUUUAUAAAAUCCUGUUAAAUUGUAA
Neltuma alba is the source of this 667-nucleotide long non-coding RNA. RefSeq lists it as uncharacterized. The transcript has 2 exons. Lineage: Eukaryota; Viridiplantae; Streptophyta; Magnoliopsida; Fabales; Fabaceae. The record is from RefSeq and is a predicted model, not a curated record.